AUGAAUAUCGCCCUCCUAUCCCGCUGGCUCUGGCGCAUCUCGCAAGGUCACGGUGGCCUCUGGCUCGACAUCAUCCGGAACAAGUACCUACGUGGACAACCCCUUGCCUUCUGUCAAAGAUCGGGCGGUUCCCAGCUCUGGCAGUCGGUCGUCCAACUUCUACCUAUUCUCCGCAUUGGGGCCUCCAUCUCGACGGGCUCCGAGGCGGCGACUUUGUUCUGGUUUGAUCGGUGGACCGGAGACACUCCCUUCGCUGUGCGAUUCCCCGACCUCUUCUCCAUCGCUGUCGACCCUUUGAUUUCUGUUGAGAGGGCCCUUAUUGACUUAGGGCGCCUCGCUUUCUGGAGGCCAUUUGGGUCCCCGGAGUUCGCCGUGUGGCGUGAGUUACUGGAUUGCGUCGCUCUCCACGAGCCGAUGGUGGAUGGUGGCCCAGACCAGGUGCGAUGACGCCUCGAGCCCUCUGGCCAAUUCUCCACCAAGUCUCUCUACCAGGCCAUUGCCCCCUCCUUCGCCCCUCCCUCCUUGGUGUGGUCCAUCCACCUGCCUCUGAAGAUCCGGAUCUUCAUGUGGCAAUGGAUUCGAGGUCGGAUCCCGUCUGGGGUCGAGGUGCACAAGCGAAAUGGCCCGAGCACUGGCCUCUGCCCGUUGUGCGGUAUCCCUAAAGACUCGAAUCACAUCUUCUUCUCCUGCGUGUCCGCUCAAUUUGUUUGGAGCUACUUUCGCGAAGCGGUGGGUGGAAAUUGGUGCCACACCAACUUCCCCGACCUAUUUGCCGAACUCCAGAAAUCCCUUUUGACGUCUCUCCACAUUAGGUGGCUUGAGAUUGGGGUCAUCGCUUGGACCCUCUGGACGAUCCGCAAUAAGCUUGUGAUCCAGCGCACUCCUCUUCGACGGGCUACUGACGCUAUCUUCAAACUGUCCGAUUUCUUGUAG
This 933-nucleotide ribosomal RNA is filed under the name Triticum aestivum (bread wheat). RNAcentral's name for it is "partial small subunit ribosomal RNA". Lineage: Eukaryota; Viridiplantae; Streptophyta; Magnoliopsida; Poales; Poaceae. The record is from RNAcentral.